Molecule: ribosomal RNA, 395 nt
Filed under: Pleopsidium gobiense
Lineage: Eukaryota; Fungi; Ascomycota; Lecanoromycetes; Acarosporales; Acarosporaceae
Description: partial 18S ribosomal RNA
Source: RNAcentral
GAGGAAGUAAAAGUCGUAACAAGGUUUCCGUAGAGGAACAGCGCAGAUGUAAGCACCUCUGAAGCCUUGAAUUUCCAGUCUACUUGUAGUAGGCGACACUAGCCUGUUGCUGGGAUUUUUCUUUGGGAUAACCAGCAGCCACAGUACUGAUGUAGUGUGGUUCACAGAUCAAACACUAGUGGCCUGAGAAGUUCACGACCCAACUCACCGCCCUUCAGGGAAUUAGCCUACGGGCAACCUCCGGUUCAUGUAGUCAUUGUUCCGAUAAUAGGUCUUCCCGAACCGUGUGCUUGAUUGGUGAAUUGGGCGUGAAUGUGGGUUAAAAUAUGACCGGCCCCAUCUCGAGACAGAUUGGGAGUCAUGUGUUCCGUAGGUGAACCUGCGGAAGGAUCAUU